This 193-nucleotide ribosomal RNA is filed under the name uncultured bacterium. RNAcentral describes it as "partial 16S ribosomal RNA". It matches the Rfam family "Bacterial small subunit ribosomal RNA", at positions 338 to 524 of the family's 1533-position model. The record is from RNAcentral.
CCUACGGGAGGCAGCAGUGGGGAAUAUUGGACAAUGGGCGAAAGCCUGAUCCAGCGACGCCGCGUGGGUGAAGAAGGCCUUCGGGUUGUAAAGCCCUUUAAGCCGGGACGAAAAAGCUACACCUAACACGUGUGGCCUUGACGGUACCGGAAGAAUAAGCACCGGCUAACUCUGUGCCAGCAGCCGCGGUAAU